RNAcentral lists this transfer RNA (71 nucleotides) under Nocardioides soli. RNAcentral describes it as "Nocardioides sp. mbc-2 tRNA". It matches the Rfam family "tRNA". From Rfam's summary of the family: Transfer RNA (tRNA) molecules are approximately 80 nucleotides in length. Their secondary structure includes four short double-helical elements and three loops (D, anti-codon, and T loops). Lineage: Bacteria; Bacillati; Actinomycetota; Actinomycetes; Propionibacteriales; Nocardioidaceae. The record is from Rfam by way of RNAcentral. RNAcentral also lists the same sequence under 1 other name.
GGUGGAGUGGCCGAGAGGCAAGGCCGCGGUCUGCAGCACCGCGUACGCAGGUUCGACUCCUGCCUCCACCU